RNAcentral lists this ribosomal RNA (912 nucleotides) under Streptomyces sp. GEM1-1. RNAcentral describes it as "bacterial SSU rRNA". It matches the Rfam family "Bacterial small subunit ribosomal RNA", at positions 39 to 968 of the family's 1533-position model. Lineage: Bacteria; Bacillati; Actinomycetota; Actinomycetes; Kitasatosporales; Streptomycetaceae. The record is from RNAcentral.
UGGGGGGGGCUAAACAUGCAGUCGAACGAUGAACCACUUCUGUGGGGAUUAGUGGCGAACGGGUGAGUAACACGUGGGCAAUCUGCCCUUCGCUCUGGGACAAGCCCUGGAAACGGGGUCUAAUACCGGAUAAUACUUCCACUCGCAUGGGUGGGGGUUGAAAGCUCCGGCGGUGAAUGAUGAGCCCGCGGCCUAUCAUCUUGUUGGUGAGGUAGUGGCUCACCAAGGCGACAACGGGUAGCCGGCCUGAGAGGGCGACCGGCCACACUGGGACUGAGACACGGCCCAGACUCCUACAGGAGGCAGCAGUGGGGAAUAUUGCACAAUGGGCGAAAGCCUGAUGCACCGACGCCGCGUGAGGGAUGACGGCCUUCGGGUUGUAAACCUCUUUCAGCAGGGAAGAAGCGAAAGUGACGGUACCUGCAGAAGAAUCGCCGGCUAACUACGUGCCAGCAGCCGCGGUAAUACGUAGGGCGCAAGCGUUGUCCGGAAUUAUUGGGCGUAAAGAGCUCGUAUGCGGUCUGUCGCGUCGGAUGUGAAAGCCCGGGGCUUAACCCCGGGUCUGCAUUCGAUACGGGCAGACUAGAGUGUGGUAGGGGAGAUCGGAAUUCCUGGUGUAGCGGUGAAAUGCUCACAUAUCAGGAGGAACACCGGUGGCGAAGGCGGAUCUCUGGGCCAUUACUGACGCUGAGGAGCGAAAGCGUGGGGAGCGAACAUGAUUAGAUACCCUGGUAGUCCACGCCGUAAACGGUGGGAACUAGGUGUUGGCGACAUUCCACGUCGUCGGUGCCGCAGCUAACGCAUUAAGUUCCCCGCCUGGGGAGUACGGCCGCAAGGCUAAAACUCAAAGGAAUUGACGGGGGCCCGCACAAACAGCAGAGCAUGUGGCUUAAUUCGACGCAACGCGAAUAU